CCUACGGGAGGCUGCAGUAGGGAAUAUUGCUCAAUGGGGGAAACCCUGAAGCAGCAACGCCGCGUGGAGGAUGAAGGUUCUCGGAUUGUUAACUCCUUUUGUUAGAGAAGUUAAUGACGGUAUCUAACGAAUAAGCACCGUCUAACUCCGUGCCAGCAGCCGCGGUAAUACGGAGGGUGCAAGCGUUAUUCGGAAUCACUGGGCGUAAAGAGCGCGUAGGCGGGUUAUCAAGUCAGAUGGGAAAUUCUAUGGCUUAACCAUAGAACUGCAUGUGAAACUGUGAUUCUAGAGUAAGGGAGAGGUAGGUGGAAUUCUUGGUGUAGGGGUAAAAUCCGUAGAGAUCAAGAGGAAUACUCAUUGCGAAGGCGACCUGCUAGAGCAUAGCUGACGCUGAUGCGCGAAAGCGUGGGGAGCAAACAGGAUUAGAUACCCCGGGUAGUC
RNAcentral lists this ribosomal RNA (441 nucleotides) under uncultured bacterium. RNAcentral's name for it is "partial 16S ribosomal RNA". It matches the Rfam family "Bacterial small subunit ribosomal RNA", at positions 338 to 795 of the family's 1533-position model. The record is from RNAcentral.